Molecule: ribosomal RNA, 497 nt
Filed under: uncultured bacterium
Lineage: Bacteria
Description: partial 16S ribosomal RNA
Rfam family: Bacterial small subunit ribosomal RNA
Source: RNAcentral
GAUGAACGCUGGCGGCGUGCCUAAUACAUGCCAGUCGAGCGAACAGAUGAGGAGCUUGCUCCUCUGACGUUAGCGGCGGACGGGUGAGUAACACGUGGAUAACCUACCUAUAAGACUGGGAUAACUUCGGGAAACCGGAGCUAAUACCGGAUAAUAUAUUGAACCGCAUGGUUCAAUAGUGAAAGACGGUUUUGCUGUCACUUAUAGAUGGAUCCGCGCCGCAUUAGCUAGUUGGUAAGGUAACGGCUUACCAAGGCAACGAUGCGUAGCCGACCUGAGAGGGUGAUCGGCCACACUGGAACUGAGACACGGUCCAGACUCCUACGGGAGGCAGUAGUAGGGAAUCUUCCGCAAUGGGCGAAAGCCUGACGGAGCAACGCCGCGUGAGUGAUGAAGGUCUUCGGAUCGUAAAACUCUGUUAUUAGGGAAGAACAAAUGUGUAAGUAACUAUGCACGUCUUGACGGUACCUAAUCAGAAAGCCACGGCUAACUACGUG